ACCCAGGUUCAAUUCUCAGCUCUACCACCAACUUCCUGUGUGACCCUGGGCAAGAUAUUUGGUCUCUCUGUGCCUCAGUUUCCCAUCAGUAAAAUGAGGAUAAUAGCACUUACCUGUGUCACAGGGGUUUGGUGAGGAU
Chelonoidis abingdonii (Abingdon island giant tortoise) is the source of this 139-nucleotide small nucleolar RNA. The record is from Ensembl. Lineage: Eukaryota; Metazoa; Chordata; Testudines; Testudinidae.